Molecule: long non-coding RNA, 1008 nt
Filed under: Phasianus colchicus (ring-necked pheasant)
Lineage: Eukaryota; Metazoa; Chordata; Aves; Galliformes; Phasianidae
Description: lncRNA (ENSPCLG00000020693.1)
Source: RNAcentral
GGAACUUGCAUGUCACAGCAUUCAAUAACAUUGCCUGGUUUUCCUUGUUUUCCUCUUAGUGAAGUUUUACCAUUUUUAUUCAAGAACUGGGGCUGCAGAUCUCAGCUCAGAGGGAUGCAGUAAGGUUUCCAAUUUGGAGGGGGAUAUCUGCUCUGGAGAGCAUUUUACAGCAGAGGUGCAGGCAGCUCCAGUACAUACAGUUAGGUUUGCACUUCUUCCCAUCUUACACACUGCAGUGAGCCAAUCUUAAGUAACUGCUCCCCCUGUUCAGGAGUGUUGACAAAUUAUGCUGGUUGAGUAAUGGCUCAUUCAUUAUACAUAAAAGGAAUCACCAGUUCAUCUUCCGAAUUUCACCUAUUCCAAUAUUUAGCGUUCAAUGGGAAAAUGAUUGAAUGGAAGUCCUGCUAGUGAACAAGAGGAUUUCAUUUAUAAGGAGCAAAGGUCUUUUCUUGUGGUGUCAAACCUGGCUUCAGGAAUGUUUUAGAUGACAGAGAGUGUUUAGAAGUGAGAGUUGAGAUCACCCCAGUGGUUGAGGUGACAGCUGCUAUAAAGAUGGACUUGAAAAUGAAGCAGCAUACAAGAUAUUCAAUUACCCUGGGAAUCAGAGGAGCUACUGGAAAGGCAUAACACAGGGCUCAGCAGGAGAAUUACUGUCCUGGACCUGGGCCUUCUUGGAGCAGGAACUCUUAUUCUUGGAGGCUCUUGGAAAUGGACAACCAUUUGGAUUCCCUAGGCACAUGUCAACCAGACUGGAGUGCAAAGUUCUCAUGGAGAUAGUCUUUCUUGGUGUAAAUAUAUCACUAUGCCCAUGAAGAGUCAUCCUCUUGAUGUUUGAAGUACAGAUCAGAAUGCUGCUCAGGCCACUUCCCUAUCUCCCACCUCCAAGAUAUCUGUAUGUAAUUUCGUAACACAGUUCCCGGGCCAACAUUCUCUGACUACAGAGGUGGUAAAACAGAUCAGUUCCCAAUGCGUUAGUGAGGCAGCUGUGAUUAAAUUCUUUAUCUGGGA